AGCAGUGGGGAAUAUUGGACAAUGGGCGAAAGCCUGAUCCAGCCAUGCCGCGUGUGUGAAGAAGGUCUUCGGAUUGUAAAGCACUUUAAGUUGGGAGGAAGGGCAGUAAAUUAAUACUUUGCUGUUUUGACGUUACCGACAGAAUAAGCACCGGCUAACUCUGUGCCAGCAGCCGCGGUAAUACAGAGGGUGCAAGCGUUAAUCGGAAUUACUGGGCGUAAAGCGCGCGUAGGUGGUUCGUUAAGUUGGAUGUGAAAUCCCCGGGCUCAACCUGGGAACUGCAUUCAAAACUGACGAGCUAGAGUAUGGUAGAGGGUGGUGGAAUUUCCUGUGUAGCGGUGAAAUGCGUAGAUAUAGGAAGGAACACCAGUGGCGAAAGCGACCACCUGGACUGAUACUGACACUGAGG
RNAcentral lists this ribosomal RNA (409 nucleotides) under uncultured bacterium. RNAcentral's name for it is "bacterial SSU rRNA". It matches the Rfam family "Bacterial small subunit ribosomal RNA", at positions 350 to 751 of the family's 1533-position model. The record is from RNAcentral.